UGAAAAUGAAUGAAUGUUAAUGGUGGUGCCUUACUGGAUUUGAUUCUAUCUGAAGAUUUUGGUGCAAGUCCUGAAUUGGUUUUUGAGUAAAACUAAAACUAUUGAAGGAUAGGUGUGGUAUUUGAGGAAUAGGGGUUAGCCAGUAGUUGUUUCAUUUUUGCUUCUCAUUGGAGUCUAUGGUGGAUGAACUAGAUUGUUAGAGAAUAGUUUUGUUAGAAACUUACACCGAAGAAAGACCAAACCUACCCUCUCCUUCCCCAUUUGAUGUUGCUAUCAAGGUUGUUUUUUUAAUCUAGUUAGGAUGGUUGUAUUAUCGGGUUGUCUCUCCCUUGAUUUAUCUAAUUGUUAGAAAGGUAUUGCUAUAAGGUUGUCUCUUGAAAGUUUUAUCUAGUCAGGUUUCUUGUUAUGGUCGGGUUUCUGGUCUAGUUAGGUUGGUUGCUUUGUUAAUUAGUCCAUUGAAGUUCGGUUAGGUGGUUUAGUUCUUCGCAUGGCUCGGUGGCUGCUGGAGGGUCAUUCGGGAUAGGGAAUGGGCGUGUACUGGCUGCCUAUUCAGCAAUGGCUCGUUGCUCGAUGGCUAUCUCCUUUUUGAAGAACAAUCAGGCAGAGGAUGCUAUGCUCUUCACUUGCAUUCAAAGAGGCGAAGACCCUUUUAGGGAGGGAAAUCGAGUUAUGAACCACCUUGCCCAUCUCAUACACCUAUUUAUCUUUAGAGUUUCGUGAGUUGUCUCGUCUUCCUAGAGGAGUGCUGUUUACGGAAUGAUUUGAGGGGAGAUUAUUUCCCUCGUAGUGUUACUUUGAAUUAUUAGGACUUUAUUCGAAGUUUUUGCCGAAAAGAAUUGGGUAUCGUUUGGUUCAGCUAAAAAAUGAAGAUUAAAACAAC
This 880-nucleotide long non-coding RNA is filed under the name Linum usitatissimum (flax). Its description in RNAcentral is "long non-coding RNA (LUSI_LNC007834)". The record is from RNAcentral. Lineage: Eukaryota; Viridiplantae; Streptophyta; Magnoliopsida; Malpighiales; Linaceae.